CAGUCGCCGCGGGAAUACGUAGGGUCCGAGCGUUGUCCGGAAUUACUGGGCGUAAAGAGCUCGUAGGUGGUUUGUCGCGUUGUUCGUGAAAACUCACAACUCAAUUGUGGGCGUGCGGGCGAUACGGGCAGACUGGAGUACUGCAGGGGAGACUGGAAUUCCUGGUGUAGCGGUGGAAUGCGCAGAUAUCAGGAGGAACACCGGUGGCGAAGGCGGGUCUCUGGGCAGUAACUGACGCUGAGGAGCGAAAGCGUGGGGAGCGAACAGGAUUAGAUACCCGAGUAGUCCCUGUCUCUUAUAC
Molecule: ribosomal RNA, 301 nt
Filed under: uncultured bacterium
Lineage: Bacteria
Description: partial 16S ribosomal RNA
Rfam family: Bacterial small subunit ribosomal RNA
Source: RNAcentral